RNAcentral lists this unclassified non-coding RNA (307 nucleotides) under uncultured fungus. Its description in RNAcentral is "partial contains 5.8S ribosomal RNA and internal transcribed spacer 2". The stretch from base 1 to 133 matches the Rfam family "5.8S ribosomal RNA", at positions 22 to 154 of the family's 154-position model. Lineage: Eukaryota; Fungi. The record is from RNAcentral.
UGGCUCCAGCAUCGAUGAAGAACGCAGCAAAAUGCGAUAAGUAAUGUGAAUUGCAGAAUUCCGUGAAUCAUCGAAUCUUUGAACGUACAUUGCGCCCCUUGGUAUUCCUUGGGGCAUGCCUGUCCGAGCGUCAUUGCACCACUCAAGCUCCGCUUGGUCCUGGGAACCGCCCCCCGGCGGUCCCUAAAUCCAGUGGCGGUGGGCCCCCUCCCAGCACGACGUACCACGCUCCGUGCCCGGGUCCGGGACCGCCGGCCAGCAACCCGCCUCUACGGUUGACCUCGGAUCAGGUAGGGAUACCCGCUGA